Aricia agestis (brown argus) is the source of this 72-nucleotide small nucleolar RNA. RefSeq annotates it as small nucleolar RNA U3. The transcript has a single exon. The record is from RefSeq and is a predicted model, not a curated record. NCBI's taxonomy places the organism in Eukaryota, Metazoa, Arthropoda, Insecta, Lepidoptera, Lycaenidae.
AAGUCCUUACUUCAUAGGAUCAUUUCUAUAGUAACCUCUUCACGAGAUCAUCACACUAUGUGAGAUCACUUU